Rhineura floridana is the source of this 595-nucleotide long non-coding RNA. RefSeq lists it as uncharacterized. The transcript is spliced from 2 exons. The record is from RefSeq and is a predicted model, not a curated record. Lineage: Eukaryota; Metazoa; Chordata; Lepidosauria; Squamata; Rhineuridae.
UAAUAUCGAAGUGAAUGGCUAGCGCUCGUUGUCAUGCUUCCUCCUGCAACCUUGAGCCCUGAAGCACCACCCUUUCCCGCUGCUCUGCCUUGCGGCAAUCAUUUCAGCCAGUCUUGAGCUGGUCUUGCAAAAAGCCACGACCAAGACCAGCUCCUCCCCCAAAGCCUCUGCAUGCUGAGUGGAAACAUUUCACUCUUGUGUCUUUGGAUGCUUGGCGCUACUUCAUUAGGCUGGUUAUUUUUAUGCUCCCAGAAAGAACAAAAUGUGAAGAGAGAGAGAGAUCAUUAGCUGCCGAUGGAACAGCUGCGGACGACAGCCGAGGCAGGCCCUCCUUUCGGCACUCUGCUGCCUCGUAUUAAGAGGAGAGUCCUCUGUUGGAAGAGCUGCCCAAUCCAAGGAUGGAGAACGGGAGGGGGGCACAGAGAGGAGACUUGAAGUUGCCCAUCAAUAGUUCGCAGUAUAUGAAGAACAGAGCGAGCAGGCACACAGGGCCCUUGUCAUUCUUCCCCACUAUGGCGUUUUUAUUUGAAUUACACCCAUUGUUUCCAAAUUCAUAUCUAUAUCGUAAAAUUAGUAAAUGCAAACUUAAUGCAAA